Non-coding RNA from Schistosoma mattheei, 78 nucleotides. Lineage: Eukaryota; Metazoa; Platyhelminthes; Trematoda; Strigeidida; Schistosomatidae. The record is from Rfam.
AGCUUUCGGAAUCCGUGCUGAGAUUUCGUCAGACACCGACUCAUUAGGGCUGAUGAAACUCCCAAAAUAAGUGAUGUC